This is a long non-coding RNA of Eriocheir sinensis (Chinese mitten crab), 2087 nucleotides long. RefSeq lists it as uncharacterized. Lineage: Eukaryota; Metazoa; Arthropoda; Malacostraca; Decapoda; Varunidae. The record is from RefSeq and is a predicted model, not a curated record. The transcript has 4 exons.
UCCGGUUAACCUGACCUAACCGAAUAAAACCGCCAACAGUCACUAUAGGUCUUGACUCAGAAAAAUCAUAUAUGCUUCCUUACUAAUGAGACUUUCUAUACAACAAAGUGAGGUCAUUCUUUGUUGAUUUAUACCCUAAGGUGCUGGCUAUCAUGUGUUUGAAGAUACCCUAAACUUAACCUAACCAAACCUAACAAAACCCCAAACAGUCACUAUAGGUCUUGACUCAGAAAAUUCAUAUAUGCUUCCUUACUAAUGAGACUUUCUAUACAACAAAGUGAGGUCAUUCUUUGUUGAUUUAUACCCUAAGGUGCUGGCUAUCAUGUGUUUGAAGAUACCCUAAACUUAACCUAACCAAACCUAACAAAACCCCAAACAGUCACUAUAGGUCUUGACUCAGAAAAUUCAUAUAUGCUUCCUUACUAAUGAGACUUUCUAUACAACAAAGUGAGGUCAUUCUUUGUUGAUUUAUACCAUAAGGUGCUGGCUAUCAUGUGUUUGAAGAUACCCUAAACUUAACCUAACCUAACCUAACAAAACCCCAAACAGUCACUAUAGGUCUUGACUCAGAAAAUUCAUAUAUGCUUCCUUACUAAUGAGACUUUCUAUACAACAAAGUGAGGUCAUUCUUUGUUGAUUUAUACCAUAAGGUGCUGGCUAUCAUGUGUUUGAAGAUACCCUAAACUUAACCUAACCUAACCUAACAAAACACCAGACAGUCACUAUAGGUCUUGACUCAGAAAAUUCAUAUAUGCUUCCUUACUAAUGAGACUUUCUAUACAACAAAGUGAGGUCAUUCUUUGUUGAUUUAUACCCUAAGGUGCUGGCUAUCAUGUGUUUGAAGAUACCCUAAACUUAACCUAACCUAACCUAACAAAACCCCAAACAGUCACUAUAGGUCUUGACUCAGAAAAUUCAUAUAUGCUUCCUUACUAAUGAGACUUUCUAUACAACAAAGUGAGGUCAUUCUUUGUUGAUUUAUACCAUAAGGUGCUGGCUAUCAUGUGUUUGAAGAUACCCUAAACUUAACCUAACCUAACCUAACAAAACCCCAAACAGUCACUAUAGGUCUUGACUCAGAAAAUUCAUAUAUGCUUCCUUACUAAUGAGACUUUCUAUACAACAAAGUGAGGUCAUUCUUUGUUGAUUUAUACCAUAAGGUGCUGGCUAUCAUGUGUUUGAAGAUACCCUAAACUUAACCUAACCUAACCUAACAAAACCCAAACAGUCACUAUAGGUCUUGACUCAGAAAAUUCAUAUAUGCUUCCUUACUAAUGAGACUUUCUAUACAACAAAGUGAGGUCAUUCUUUGUUGAUUUAUACCAUAAGGUGCUGGCUAUCAUGUGUUUGAAGAUACCCUAAACUUAACCUAACCUAACCUAACAAAACCCCAAACAGUCACUAUAGGUCUUGACUCAGAAAAUUCAUAUAUGCUUCCUUACUAAUGAGACUUUCUAUACAACAAAGUGAGGUCAUUCUUUGUUGAUUUAUACCAUAAGGUGCUGGCUAUCAUGUGUUUGAAGAUACCCUAAACUUAACCUAACCUAACCUAACAAAACCCAAAACAGUCACUAUAGGUCUUGACUCAGAAAAUUCAUAUAUGCUUCCUUACUAAUGAGACUUUCUAUACAACAAAGUGAGGUCAUUCUUUGUUGAUUUAUACCAUAAGGUGCUGGCUAUCAUGUGUUUGAAGAUACCCUAAACUUAACCUAACCUAACCUAACAAAACCCCAAACAGUCACUAUAGGUCUUGACUCAGAAAAUUCAUAUAUGCUUCCUUACUAAUGAGACUUUCUAUACAACAAAGUGAGGUCAUUCUUUGUUGAUUUAUACCAUAAGGUGCUGGCUAUCAUGUGUUUGAAGAUACCCUAAACUUAACCUAACCUAACCUAACAAAACCCAAAACAGUCACUAUAGAUCUUGACUCAGAAAAUUCAUAUGUGCUUCCUUACUAAUGAGACUUUCUAUACAACAAAGUGAGGUCAUUCUUUGUUGAUUUAUUCCAUAAGGUGCUGGCUAUCAUGUGUUUGAAGAUACCCUAAACUUAACCUAACCUAACCUAACAAAACCCCAAACAGUCACUAUAG